This 95-nucleotide transfer RNA is filed under the name Agrobacterium tomkonis. RNAcentral describes it as "tRNA-OTHER". Lineage: Bacteria; Pseudomonadati; Pseudomonadota; Alphaproteobacteria; Hyphomicrobiales; Rhizobiaceae. The record is from RNAcentral.
GAAAGCGUGGCGGAGUGGUUUAUCGUUGGCGGCUGUCCUCCGGGACCCGCUCCGGGCUUACGGGCUCGCGCAGGUUCGAUUCUUGCCGCCUUUCA